GACGAACGCUGGCGGCGUGCUUAACACAUGCAAGUCGAACGGAAAGGCCCUGCUUUUGUGGGGUGCUCGAGUGGCGAACGGGUGAGUAACACGUGAGUAACCUGCCCUUGACUUUGGGAUAACUUCAGGAAACUGGGGCUAAUACCGGAUAGGAGCUCCUGCUGCAUGGUGGGGGUUGGAAAGUUUCGGCGGUUGGGGAUGGACUCGCGGCUUAUCAGCUUGUUGGUGGGGUAGUGGCUUACCAAGGCUUUGACGGGUAGCCGGCCUGAGAGGGUGACCGGCCACAUUGGGACUGAGAUACGGCCCAGACUCCUUCGGGAGGCAGCAGUGGGGAAUAUUGCACAAUGGGCGGAAGCCGGAUGCAGCAACCCCGCGUGCGGGAGGACGGCCUUCGGGUGGUAAACCGCUUUCGCCUGUGACGAAGCGUGAGUGACGGUAAUGGGUAAAGAAGCACCGGCUAACUACGU
Molecule: ribosomal RNA, 467 nt
Filed under: uncultured bacterium
Lineage: Bacteria
Description: partial 16S ribosomal RNA
Rfam family: Bacterial small subunit ribosomal RNA
Source: RNAcentral